GACGAACGCUGGCGGCGUGCCUAAUACAUGCAAGUAGGACCCAGUUGCGACCGGUUGAGUAACGCGUAGGUAACUACCUAUUAGAGGGGGAUAACUACUGGAAACGAUAGCUAAUACCGCAUACUCGUAGAUGUACCUGCGUUGUAUUAGCUAGUAUGUCGGGUAAUCGCCUGCCUAGGCAACGCUACGUAGCCGCCCUGAGAUGGUGAUCGGCCACACUGGGACGGAGACACGGCCCAGACUCCUACGGGAGGCAGCAGUAGGGAAUCGGCGGCAAUGGGGGGAACCCUGACCGAGCAACGCGGCGGGAGUGAAGAAGGUUUUCGGAUCGUAAAGCUCUGUUGUUAAGGAAGCGGUACUUAACCAGAAAGGGACGGCUAACUACGUGCCAGCAGCCGCGGUAAUAC
Molecule: ribosomal RNA, 407 nt
Filed under: uncultured bacterium
Lineage: Bacteria
Description: partial 16S ribosomal RNA
Rfam family: Bacterial small subunit ribosomal RNA
Source: RNAcentral